AUGUAUUAUGUUGCUUGUUGAUUUUCUGUGAUUCCUUGCUGACUGAAAAACUGUUAUUUUUUUAUGCAGGAUACAACCAUGGAUAUCACUCAGGUUCUACUAGAUGCUCAAUCUCGAGAUGCUAACCUUCGAACAGUAGCAGAAAGCAACCUCACACAGUUCCAGGAGCAGAAGCUUUAAGCUACGCUCAACUGUCUAUGUGACUCACAUUUGAUGUAAACCGUGUUAUAAAAAAAGACAUGUUGUAAUUUAUUCAUUUCAAAUCAAUGUUUGUUCCAAU
This 280-nucleotide long non-coding RNA is filed under the name Sorghum bicolor (sorghum). Its description in RNAcentral is "long non-coding RNA (SBIC_LNC009095)". Lineage: Eukaryota; Viridiplantae; Streptophyta; Magnoliopsida; Poales; Poaceae. The record is from RNAcentral.